This 90-nucleotide ribosomal RNA is filed under the name Staphylococcus simiae. The record is from RNAcentral. Lineage: Bacteria; Bacillati; Bacillota; Bacilli; Caryophanales; Staphylococcaceae.
CACCUGUUCCCAUGCCGAACACAGAAGUUAAGCUCCUUAGCGCCGAUGGUAGUCGGACUUACGUUCCGCUAGAGUAGGACGUUGCCAGGC